UACGAAGGGGGCAAGCGUUGUUCGGAAUUACUGGGCGUAAAGGGCGCGUAGGCGGCCGAUCAAGUCAGGCGUGAAAUUCCCGGGCUCAACCUGGGGGCUGCGCUUGAUACUGAUUGGCUUGAAUGCGGGAGAGGAUAGUGGAAUUCCCAGUGUAGAGGUGAAAUUCGUAGAUAUUGGGAAGAACACCGGUGGCGAAGGCGGCACUCUGGGCCGGUACUGACGCUGAGGAGCGAAAGCGUGGGGAGCGAGCAGG
Molecule: ribosomal RNA, 253 nt
Filed under: uncultured bacterium
Lineage: Bacteria
Description: partial 16S ribosomal RNA
Rfam family: Bacterial small subunit ribosomal RNA
Source: RNAcentral